This 71-nucleotide transfer RNA is filed under the name Halocynthia papillosa. Its description in RNAcentral is "transfer RNA-Cys". The record is from RNAcentral. Lineage: Eukaryota; Metazoa; Chordata; Ascidiacea; Stolidobranchia; Pyuridae.
GGGUUUGUAAGUUAUACUAAACUAAUUAUCUGCAAAGUAAUUUAAGAGGUAUUAAGGAACCUCCCUUCCCG